CCGCCCGCCGCCCCUGCCGGGCUCUCGGUGCCCCGGAGGGUGCCGCGCCCCGGCGGGCACGGCUCGGCUUUUGUUUGUGACGGCGUCGUGCGUCGCCCUGUGCCCCGGCGGCACGGUCGCUCCGCGCUCUGGACCGCGGGCAUUGCGUGGCUGAAGCCCUGGGAUGGGGGUGCAGCCAAGCGCUCGCAGCGCCGACAGAAAGCGGGAGCCGGGGUCGCUGGGAGGGUGUGGCUGUCUGCAGGUGCCAGUGCAGGGACAGACGGGUGGGAAAAUGGGACACACAGACAGAGCCCGCUACGUAAAUACUCCCGGGGGCAGAGGAAAAGGAUGCUAAGUUCUCCCCACUCCCCUUGCUUUUCCAUCUCCCACCUCAUCAGGACGACUCUCACCAUGUCCCUCUUUCUCACCAGUGCCCGGGGCCACAUGUGCUCACUGCCGACGACCAGAGGGGAGCAGUGGUACAAGCUGGGGCACAGCCCGGCCUUCUCCCCAGUGGCCUCCCCUGCCAUGGAGGGGGAGCAUGGUGGCAGCCCCCACGCAAACCUUCUCCUGCCCCUGCAGCCACUGUGCACAGUCAUGGCACCAAGUCAUGUCCAUGUCGAAUUGCCACCAGAGAUGAUGGCCAGCAGUCCAGUCACAUCAGGGUGGCUGGUGUCACCCUGACCACAAACUCUUAACUGGCUGCAAAUCGGUCCCAGGUCUCUUCUGCCUUCUGCCAGAGACAGAGGAAAGGACAGAUGAGGCAGAAGACAAGAUACUGGCUGGAGGAGGAGGAGUGAGUUACAUUUUACAGAGUACAGCUUGUAAACGUGUCCAGCAUCCAGAAGCCACAGAGACAGGAGAGAGACCAGAACCGUGACCCAGAGGUGCAAGUUCCUCACCUCAACUGUGCCUCCAUCAGUGCUACCACAUCAUGAGUUUCCCCAUUGCUUGGUCAUGUUUCUGCUCUUAACACAAAUGAAGGAAACUUGAUAGAAGAGAGAUAAUACCAAAUGCUUUUGAGAAAAUUCAAAUACAAAGAGUCAGGCAUACUUUCGAAAUUCGAAAGAUCAAACCCUGAACAUGUAUCUUGGGAAAAAAAUGGAUAAAAAGUCUAACAAGUAAGGCUUGGCCACCUAACUAAAAUUCUCUGGUUUUCCACUUUCAUUUCACCAAUCCUUUGUAUUUUGCCAGUUCCUCUUACAAUCGUUGGGUCCAAUGGAAGAAGACUCAGAGAUACAAAAGGCAGAGGAGAGGUGACUUAAUGCUUCACAGCUGUAUGGAACAGACUGCUUAUUGUGCCUUCUUUCUUUUUUGAGUCAGUAUUUGUGCCUAUGACAGAAAGAGCUUGUUUUUCAGCCAGCUUAAAAUCCAACUGUUAGUGGAGGAAAGUGACUUGAAGUCAACCUGAAAUUACUACUUGGGAAAUAUUUUGACAAAUUGAUUUUUUUUCUAUACAUUUAGUUUCAAUACUUUUUGCACUUUAAAAAUAAUUAUUUAGGAAUCUUGAAGUACCUAUGGAAAUGGAUAGUCAUUCCAAAAAGGAAAUGGUAAAGCACUGAAUUUUGAAAGUGACUAAUGAGAUAUCGCCAUUUUUCCUUUUAUCCUUUUGUUUUGACCUGAAGACAUCUACGGAUUCAUUGUGAACUUAUGACAUGCUUUUCAGUCCCCUGUAUUACGGCAGGGAUUUCUUGAUGGCUUCCCUUAAUCUCUGUAGGUCUGAAAUGGAAGUCUGCUUCUGACAGCGAAAAAUGUCAUAACUCUGCCUGCUUAGCAAGGGAGCAGAACGACUGACAGACACCUUGCAAAGUGAAAACAAAUGAGGAGCUCUAAUUUAAAAUCACAGAGAGCCAGCAGGGAGCUCCUGAUGACAUGCAGACGAGGGGCAGCUGAGCCUCUGGUGAUGGGAGAGCUGUUCCUACUGCAUUCCCUCCGACCUGGCUUAGCCUGAGGGGCAUCUGAUGUGGUGGAAGAGCUCCCAUGCUGAGCUGCACGGCACGGCCACACCAGCAGGUUUUAUUCUAGCUGAAGGGGAUAUCACAAAUGUUCUACAAGGUGGAUUUUUUUUUUAAUGUUUAGAUUGAGUAUGAAUGAAGAAAACCAGACAAGAAACACUAUAUUUAAAAAAAAUCAAAAAGGGUAAUAUAAAAAAUGUAGCAUUUAUAGGUAAUUUUUUUUUUUUUAACAGCAAUUAAGGACUUUGUCAUGAAGGCUCGUUUCCUGGACAUACCUUACAGCUCUUUUGAGCUGCCUAUUAAAGGUCCCUGUCACACA
Molecule: long non-coding RNA, 2253 nt
Organism: Passer domesticus (house sparrow)
Lineage: Eukaryota; Metazoa; Chordata; Aves; Passeriformes; Passeridae
Exons: 2
Source: RefSeq, a predicted model, not a curated record